CGUAAUUUGACAUCACAAAAUUUACAAUUUUUAAACUGCUAUCUCGAUCCUGGCUGAUUCCAAGAUGCCCCUUGCGAUGCAUCCCAAUCAAAGGGCUGGAAAUAUCAAGCAAGAAAGGGUGCAAUUUUCAUCUGAGCUUGUUGCCAAAUUUCCUCACGAAUACGAGGACAAGGAAGAGGACGAUUCGUCAGAUGACACGUACCUUUGUAUGCCCCUAACCCACUGGGACUUUUCCUCACCAUACCAAUAGGUCCAUUUUCAAUAACUUAUUACUUGUACCUGCUGUAUACUCGACUUUUGAAACUUUAUGACUGGUUCUUUACAAAAGAGCUCGUGGAUUUCUAUCGGGGGUACAAAUAUCGCUUCGUAAAGCAGUCAAAGAAAUGGAUCAUGAGCUGGCAGUUAAUAAAUUUUACCGUGUCUGCUAUAAAGGAUCUCAAGCCUAAGGAUUUUCUCGCUCAAAAACUUGAUAAUUUUGUUACGUCCCGAAUCCGUUUGCGACAUCGAAUAUUUGACUUUCUCAGCAAUAUCAGCUACGUCGGAAUAGGUUUGGACUUGCGUGGACGGCUGUGGUUCCACAAUAAGACAACAAGACGGAAUAAGACUGGAGAUGUGAUUUCGAUGCUGUGGAACAAGGAUGAUUUACGAAUGGGUUUCAUUGAGUAUUGGAUCCAUAAACUAUUAAAUCAACCGCUGAGACCGGGUGGCGCUUUGUGGGAACGGUUUGAGAUGUUCCGGAUUUUCUACAAUAAAAGUUACGAGCCUAAAGAACUGUUUCAGCGCAUGGGCGUUUUUGUGAACAAUCUUCAAGUCAUCGCCUCACUUAACAGGAGAGAAACAGGGACUGCAAUUUACGGUUUGUCGCAGUACUCCGAUAGAACUGUUGAAGAAUUCGCUCAAAUAUUGGCGCUUACAACUCAACUGCUGACGAUACAAAUGAGUACAUAA
Molecule: long non-coding RNA, 948 nt
Filed under: Bemisia tabaci
Lineage: Eukaryota; Metazoa; Arthropoda; Insecta; Hemiptera; Aleyrodidae
Description: lncRNA ENSSSA2NGG008582
Source: RNAcentral